UACUGUACCCUCCCAGCAGCCUCCAGCAGAACAUGCAGCAGCAGCGGUUAGCGCUGAUGCAACUAUCGUUGCUAUUGCCGCCGCCUCCCCACUAACGGGCCGUUCACCUGGGGGGUACUUGCAGUUUCCAGGGGCAACAAGCAUCUCUCUACCACCCUCUCCUGCGACCCUGAGAGAGGCUGGCUCCAAGCUUGAUAUAGAAGACUAUCAUAUGAACCAGAGAGGGUAACUGAAACCAAAGAAAUGACUCCAGUAUCAAGCUAAAGACACGCCUUAAAGGAUGAGGAGGAGCAGAAAUCUUACCAGCAAGGCAAGAAAGAAGCCAUACGUGAACAGCCUCUGCUUUAGGCCCAGAAGGAAAAGAAGCUUACAGGAGACAAUCAGUCUUACACUCUUCCAUGGUCACAAACAAAAGGUCCCUGGAUCUACAGUAUCUAGGCCCACAUGCAAUAUGACUUUGCAACUCAUCCCAUCAGAGGGUGGAAACUAUUUCUUCACCCCCUUGAACCUGGGCUGGCUUUGUAAUUUGUUUUGGCCAAUAGAAUGUCGUGGAAGUGAUGGUGUUACCAGAAAGAGUUCCCAAUCCAGACUCGUGUGAGAAAGAAUUUGAGAAAUGAAAGAACCAGAGCAUUAUAGCAAAAUGAAUCCUGGAAUGGGAAUGCAAUGCCUGGAUUUGUGGCACAGUUGUGAAGUGUCCUGGCCAUGCCAUGUUAAAGUUGUCUCCAAGGCAGUGAUUCUUACCCUUGGCUACACAUUGGAGUCAUUUGGGAAGCUAGAAAAAAAAAAAAAAGAAAAAGAAAAAAAUGCCCAGGACCUGGACAAGACAGCUGAAUAAGAACAGCUCUGGUCUGCAGCUCCCAGCAAGAUCAACGCAGAAGGGAAGCUGGCAGCCUGGGCUCUUGGAGAUUGUAUCUGGUGCUGGAGAGGACUGGCUCCCACACUCAGUGAGGAAGGAAUUUUACUGACCCAGCACCCAGAUGAACUUUGGUGAGAAGAGGAGAUGGAGUUUCGCUGUUGUUGCCCAGGCUGGAGUGCAAUGGCGUGAUUUCGGCUCAUGGCUACCUCUGCCUCCCAGGUUCAAGCAAUUCUCCUGCCUCAGCCUCCCAAGUAGCUGGGAUUACCGAUCAUGAACUGGCAGCCAUGUGGAAAGAAGACUAGACUGCGAAUCACUUAGGAUCCCGCCCUCGGUUUAGUCCAGAAUACUCUGCCAAUCAGCUUUUUGGCCGCAGGUAGGAAAGAGACAAAUGGAAACAAAAUAGCAAAAUGGUGAAGAGGAGGGUUCUAGAGGCAGACAGCCCUGCAGUCCUGAGUCCUGAGUCCACCAUUUAACAGAGUGACUUUGCUUAGCCUGUGGAUUAUAAUGAAACUUGCCUGUUAUAGGAUCCAGUUUUUUAGGUGGUAGCAACAUGCUCAAAGAAGAUGCAGCCCCUUCCUCCAGCCUGAGAGAAUAAAGCAUCACUGGCUUAUGCCAACCAUGGCAAUCCCAUUCCCCUUUUCUCAUGAUUGAUUUGGGAAUGGGCAAGUGACCCAGUCCUAACCAAUGAGACCAAAGAAAAAGUCUAUUGGUCAGCUUAUCUCAGAAGAUUUUUGUUUCCUGCUAUAAAGAGAAACAGUAAGUUCCUCCCUGCCUGACUUAAAUGCAAUUGUGUGCAAACAUGUUACUUGGAGCUACAGCAACGAUUCUGUGACCAUGAGGCAAUAAGCCGAGGACAAAGGAUAGAAUAGUGAAAAGACAGAGCACUGGACUUUUUUAAUGAUAUCAUUGAACUGCUGGACCAAUGUGGAACCAUCUACUUUUAGUCUUUCAUGAUUUGUGAGAUGAUUAAAAAUUUCAUUUUUUUAGCCAUUCUUUCUUUUCUGUUACUUGCAACUGAAGACAUCCUACAUAAUACAAACACUAUCCAACUUGGGUUGUAAUUUAUCUAUUUUCAGAUCUGUGUGUUCUGUCUUACUGAUUUUUGUAUUCUUAGCACUGAGUAUAAGCCUGCUACUUAGUAAGACUUCAAUAAAUGACUGUUUCAAAAGGUCUUAGAUGAUUUAAAAAAAAUUCUGAAGUUGCUGAAAUAUGAAGACCAGGAACCAAUUUCAGGUUCUAUAAAUUUCUUGCUUCCUUCACUUCUGGAGUAUUCUUCAUUUAUGUCUGAUUCUACCUUUACUAAAAUGAAUGAAUGAUUGAGGAAUAUGAAAAAUGGCUGGUAUAGUGGCUACUGCUGAGCAGUAUCUCUUGGAAAUUCCCAGAAAUUCCAUCAGCCACAUUCAGACCUAACUCUCUGAUGAUCAAUGUUUCUGAACUCAAACCAGUGUACAUAAUCAGUGGCCUAUUUAAAGUGGUAUUAGCCUAGAAUAUCUAGGACACAUGUUUUAUGCAUUCAGUAAGCAUUUGUUUAAUGUCUCUUAUCUACCAGGCACAUUAUUAUGCACUGGGCAUAUAGAGAUGACCAACCACAUGGCCUCAAUCCUUGAAAAGCUUACAGUAACCAAAUAGGGUUAACGGCCUAAAGAGAGGUCAUUACAAGUCUUACACCCAGUCCUCUUAGCAUAGUAUGGUGCUACCACUGAGUUAAUUAAAAUAACAAAAUUCCUAGAUAUAUAUCUUUGAUGAAAUGGUUUCCAUAAAAACUUUCCAAGCUUGGUCCCUCCCCAGCUGAGUUCAUUUUGGAAGGUGACUUUCUGCUCUCAUCACCUAAGGUCCUUAAUAUGUAUCCUGUGUUCUCCGGAGGCACCCCUUGCCCAGAGUGUGCCCUCUGCAUGGUUCCCCCAGAACACCUAUUUCAAAGGAAAAGAAGUUUGAUCAUUCAGUGAAGAUUUGGGGGCCACUUUUCUAUGUGGGAGGAUUAUGAGUAGUGCCUUGCUCCCCUAUGUAUUAGUAAAUAUAAAUAAAACAUAAAUUAACCCCCUUUCUGGCUGGGCACGGUGGCUCACGCCUGUAAUCCCAGCACUUUGGGAAUCCGAGGUGGGUGGAUCACUUGAGGUCAGCAGUUUGAGACCAGCCUGGCCAACAUGGCAAAACCCCAUCUCUACUAAAAUAUAAAAAUUAGCCAGAUGUGGUUGCACACAUCUCUAGUCCCAGUUACUCAGGAGGCUGAGGCACAAGAAUUGCUUGAGCCUGGGAGGCAAGUGUUGCAGUGAGCUGAGAUUGUGCCAUUGCACUCCAGCCUGGGUGACAGAGCAAGACUCUGUCUC
Molecule: non-coding RNA, 3183 nt
Filed under: Pongo abelii (Sumatran orangutan)
Lineage: Eukaryota; Metazoa; Chordata; Mammalia; Primates; Hominidae
Source: RNAcentral